This 361-nucleotide unclassified non-coding RNA is filed under the name uncultured Mycosphaerellaceae. Its description in RNAcentral is "sequence contains ITS2". The stretch from base 1 to 154 matches the Rfam family "5.8S ribosomal RNA". The record is from RNAcentral. Lineage: Eukaryota; Fungi; Ascomycota; Dothideomycetes; Mycosphaerellales; Mycosphaerellaceae.
AACUUUUGGCAAUGGAUCUCUUGGUUCUGGCAUCGAUGAAGAACGCAGCGAAAGGCGAUAAGUAAUGUGAAUUGCAGAAUUCAGUGAAUCAUCGAAUCUUCGAACGCACAUUGCGCCCCUUGGUAUUCCGAGGGGCAUGCCUGUUCGAGCGUCAUUUAAACAAUCAAGCACCGCUUGGUCUUGGUUGCGGUCCUAGGACCCUCCCGUAACUAGUUGGCGGCACCGUCCGGCUCCAAGCGUGGUAGAAAAUUUCGCUUCGGGAGCUCUGGCGUGGCCUGCCAGGUAACUAUUGCCUCUAAAGUUUGACCUCGGACCAGGUAGGGAUACCCGCUGCACUUAAGAAUAUCAAUAAGAGGAGGCU